GACGAACGCUGGCGGCGUGCUUAACACAUGCAAGUCGUACGGGAAGGCCCUGUCUUUGUGUGGGGUGCUCGAGUGGCGCACGGGUGCGUACCCCGUGGAUGAUCAGCCCUGCAGUUUGGGAUAGGCCUUAGACACUGGGUCUAGUACCGGAUAGGGCCAUGCGCUUGUGUGGGAUGUCGGGUCGGCUUCUUUUUUGGGCUGGUGUGGGGUUGGCUUGCGGCCUGUCAGGUUGUUGGUGGGAGAAGGGCCUACCCCGCCGUCGGCGGGUAGCAGGCCCGAGAGGGGGGACGACGACAUUGGGACUGGGAUAUGGGACACACUCCUGCGGGAGGCAGCAGUGGGGAGUAUGGCACAAUGGGCGAAAGCCGGAUGCAGCGAGGACGCGUGAGGGAGGACGGUCGUCGGGUUGUAAACCUUGUUCUCCGGGGACGAAGCUUGUUUUGGUGACGGUACCUGGAGAAGAAGCACCGGCUAACUACGUG
Molecule: ribosomal RNA, 482 nt
Filed under: uncultured bacterium
Lineage: Bacteria
Description: partial 16S ribosomal RNA
Rfam family: Bacterial small subunit ribosomal RNA
Source: RNAcentral